GAUGAACGCUGGCGGCGUGCCUAAUACAUGCAAGUCGAGCGAACGGACGAGAAGCUUGCUUUUCUGAUGUUAGCGGCGGACGGGUGAGUAACACGUGGAUAACCUACCUAUAAGACUGGGAUAACUUCGGGAAACCGGAGCUAAUACCGGAUAAUAUUUUGAACCGCAUGGUUCAACAGUGAAAGACGGUCUUGCUGUCACUUAUAGAUGGAUCCGCGCUGCAUUAGCUAGUUGGUAAGGUAACGGCUUACCAAGGCAACGAUGCAUAGCCGACCUGAGAGGGUGAGCGGCCACACUGGAACUGAGACACGGUCCAGACUCCUACGGGAGGCAGCAGUAGGGAAUCUUCCGCAAUGGGCGAAAGCCUGACGGAGCAACGCCGCGUGAGUGAUGAAGGUCUUCGGAUCGUAAAACUCUGUUAUUAGGGAAGAACAUAUGUGUAAGUAACUGUGCACAUCUUGACGGUACCUAAUCAGAAAGCCACGGCUAACUACGUG
Molecule: ribosomal RNA, 497 nt
Filed under: uncultured bacterium
Lineage: Bacteria
Description: partial 16S ribosomal RNA
Rfam family: Bacterial small subunit ribosomal RNA
Source: RNAcentral